RNAcentral lists this long non-coding RNA (1236 nucleotides) under Apteryx haastii (Great spotted kiwi). Its description in RNAcentral is "lncRNA (ENSAHAG00000004998.1)". Lineage: Eukaryota; Metazoa; Chordata; Aves; Apterygiformes; Apterygidae. The record is from RNAcentral.
AUGAGCUGGGAAGGGCCAUGGGGCACCGCGCCGGUGCUCUGCUUCGCAUCCGGGAGGCGCGAGGGCCGCAGCGGCGCGGCCAGGCUGCCUCCGGCCGAGCCCCAUAUGCCCGGAGCAUCCGGAGCCAGGAAGGGGCUUGGCAGCGCCGGCGCGGGCCCCGGCGGGAGGCCGGCAGCGGGGCCGCGCCGCACCGAGCCAGCCGCCUCUGGCCGGUCCCACGGGAGAGCACCGCUGCCGCCGGGUUUAGGCGCAAGCAGCCCCCAAACGGGCGCAAACAGCCCCAAAACGUCGACCCGCGGGGCCGGAGAUGCCGGGGGGCUGGAGAUGCCGGGGGGCCGGAUUGCCGUCCUUGGUCCCUGCCGGCACCGUGACCCGGUGCAAGGAGAGCUCGGCCCCUGGCGGCGUGGUUGCACCGGGAGACGCUCCCGGGCAGUCUCUCAUGCGUGCACCGAGCGCGGCAGGUCUCAGCCUCCCCUGCCGAGGGUGCGAGCAGGCGCUGGAGCCCUGCGGCCAUCGGGAGGAGCCGAGGCAGCUCCCGGAGCCGGCACGUCCCCUCGGCAAGCCCGGGCGGCUGCGGCGGCGAGCAGGAUGCCUCCAUCCGUCGCGGAGGGGAGCAGAGACCCCGCGAGCUCGUGCCGCCCGCCGGGCUCCAGCCGGGAUGCUGCGGGAGAGGAGGGAAGCGGGGUCGAGAAGGACCCUGGGCUGCGGCGGAGACGCAUCCUGCUCCGCUCGGCCCAGCUUUUCCUCCCGGAUAAAAGCCCGGAGCUGACGGGAGACGGUGCCGGGGUGGCAAGCCGGGCCAGGCCGGCGGAUCCGGGGAGGAGCGGAGUGUGCCGGCACCCUGCUCACCUCUCUCCUGCCCCAACCGGCAUCGGGAUUCACAAAACUUGGAGCAUUUGUGAUGUUUGGGACAAGGCGGGAUACAAAGGGUCCCACUGGGAAGGGAGGGGGGGGUCCCAGGACGGAUGGGGCCUCGGCAUGCAGAUCCGAGCCCGUGGCUGGGGAGCAGCAUGCAGCAUCCGUCUGUCCGUCCGGCACCGCGCGGAUGCCACCGGCACAGGCCGGGAUUGCCGCCAGAGGGAGCCUCCCGGAGCACGGAGAGGUGGAAAAGCUCCAUUUCUGAGACCCGAGGCGCUUCCACGGUGCGGGAGGGGGGAGCCGGUGCCCGGGGGCCCCUCCGUUCCCGCCUCCGCCACACUGCCGGCCGGGGGAGCCAGCAGAAAAGCCCCGGGAUGA